AUAUUAUAAUUAUUGUUAGAGACUGUUUAAAAUGACUUGAUCAUGCUCAAAAGAGCACACUUAUGGCAGACCUGGAACGAACUCUUGCGGAUAUAUCUUAUAUUAUAACUGUAAAUGAGCCAAACACUACUAAACCGAUUACUCUCCCAGAUCCAAGUGUUCACUUUGUUGUGGAGAAAUACUUAGAAGAGAAUGAACAGAUCAGUUUCGAUAUCAUCUUAAGUGAAAGAAUUGGGUACACUCUCUUCAAGAGAUUCAUAUUUGAUGGAUAUUCUGGAUUUUCAAAAAAGUGUAUUGAUUUCUAUGAAAUGAUUUCUGAAUACAGGUGUUUAGACUGUACAGUUACACGAAAACCAAUUGCCAAAGAGAUAUACAAAAGAUUCAUCAUGCCUGACUUACUUGCUAUGGAUCAAAGUUUUGACUCUGAGUUAGCAUCAUAUGUUAAUGACUGUUUAUCCAAAGAUGAAACAGACUUGAACCUAUUUGAUGCCUACAACAAUGUUAUCAAAGAAUACCUCAUACUGGAAGAGUUCCCAACUUUCAUUUUGAGCAAUCAUUACACUAGAUAUCUGCAAUGGAAGUUCGUAGAAAUAAAUGGUAAAAUCAAAAAGGAUGACUUUGUAAAACAUCGAAUUAUUGGUAGAGGAGGCUUUGGAGAAGUUCAUGGAUGUCUGAAGAUUGAUACUGGUCAUAUGUUUGCCAUCAAAUAUCUGAACAAGAAGCGCCUGAAGAAAAAAGGAGGAAAAACAACAGCAUUUGAGGAGCGUGAAAUGCUUUUAAAGUUCGACAGUCCAUUUAUUGUUGGCCUAAAUUAUGCAUUCCAAACCGAGGAGAAGUUGUGUUUUGUCUUAGAUCUCAUGAGAGGCGGUGAUCUGAGCUAUCAUUUGAAUCAGAGGGGACAGUUCUCAGAAGAUGAAACUCGAUUUUAUGCUGUAGAAAUUAUUCUUGGAUUGGAACUCAUGCACAGUAAAGAUAUUGUCUAUCGGGAUCUCAAACCAGCUAACAUUUUGAUGGAUGAUGCCGGACACAUUAAAAUCUCCGACCUUGGUUUGGCUACAGACUUCCGUAAAAAGAAACCUAAACUUGCCGUGGGUACACCAGGGUACAGAGCACCAGAGGUUCUACGCGGAAAACCAUACGAUUACUGUGCUGACUGGUUUACAUUCGGCUGCACCCUUGUCAAACUGCUCACAGGAAAGUGCCCUCCUACUCCAUCAGCAGAGAGCAACUCUUUACAACCACAGAUGGUUUACCCUGACGAUUUCACGCCGGAACUUGUUUCGUUGUUAACAGGCUUACUUCGGUACAUUCCAGAGAAGAGACUUGGAUAUAAUGGUGCUGCUGAAGUGAAAAUCCAUGGAUGGUUUCAGUCGGUGGAUUGGACGUUAGCUAAUAAACUUGGUCUUGAACCGCCAUUUGCUCCUUCAAAGGGGGAGGUACAUGCUCUUGAUCCUGUUGACAUCGGUACAUUCAAUGAUGAUGAUAUAAGGGAUGUCGAGUUAACCAAAGAAGAUGAGGAAUUCUUUAAGAGUUUCGACAUUUCCCCAUCGGACCGGUGGCAGCGAGAAGUUCUUGGUGAUAGCACAUGGUCCUCAUUUGACGUUGCCAAUCAGAACGCUGACAAGUGGGAGUUGAACAAACGGAAGUCUUGUACUUUUUACUGUGGAGCUAACAGUUCUUUGGAGUGCAAAUGUACAUUGGAGGGUUAUAUGCUGAAGCUUGGUGGGAUGUUUCUUACCAGUUGGCAAAAGAGCUACUUUAGUUUGUUACUGAAUCAUUCGAAUGGAGAACAGACCCUUUUGCUGAUAAACCUCUGAACACAAUCUAUCUUGAUGAACUUGUAGCGAUAAAGGAAUGUCGAUAUAAGGAUCACUCUAAAUGUAUCCGUCUAGAUGUAAUGUACAGAAAAAAUAAAACUCGUACCCCCGAUCUAGUCCUUCUCAGAUGUGAGACGGAAAUGGAAUUUGACCAGUGGAUGAAAAAUUUGACUAGAAAUUUGGAAGAUUACCGUUGUCAAGUGAAGAUGGACAGCUCCAAAAGAUUGUCCGCUGAUACGGAGACUGAGGAUGGAUGGGCUCUGGUGGACUCUUUUGAGAGUUCAGAAGAUCCAGUAUCGUACCAAAUUAAUUAGUUCUAGACGCUAAUGUAGCCACUUUGUAUAGUAUACAGUAUACACGUGGCUAAUUUAACCACAUUGUACACAGUGUACACGUGUAUACUAUACAAUGUAACCACAUUGUAUAGUAUACAAUAUACAGGUGGCUAAUGUAACCACAUUGUAUAGUAUACAGUAUACACGUGGCUAAUGUAACCACAUUGUAUAGUAUAAAUAGUAUACAGUAUACAGGACACAGGUGGCGAAAUAAAACUAGAUUUCUUCUUUUAUGUAGAUUAUAGAUGAUAGUGUUCAGAAUAGGAUUUUUUGAUUUAAACUCGUUAUAAUUAUAUGGUAUGUACGACAAUGCUCAAUCGAACGAAUUUACUAGCUUUGAUGCUUUAAGGUCUUAAAAGUUUUAAAGAGUUUAACAUUUGGAAGAGACUAUUUUGGUAUAAUUUUUGCAUUACUGUGAACUAUAAUAAUGGACCCACAUUUGCCUCAGCUCUUUGCUUUCCUCAAAUUCUGCAGUUUUAUAAGUAAGCAACGAUUUCAGUGCGGUAUACAUUUUUUAGUUUAAUUGCAUUUAAUCAACCUACGUUUUUGUUUGUAUGAAAAGUAGCGAUCAUUAUUGUUUUUUUAUUUCGUAUUUUUGAUGAUUUUUAUAUCGAUUGAUUAAUGUCAGAAUAUUUUGUAUAUGACCAAGUCAUAAUUUGUGUGUAGAAUUGCUGGCCAAAAUUUUGUUGUAAAUUGCCAGAUAAGUCUGACCUGAUUUGUUGAUGAUGUAAAUUAUAACGAUUGAUUUAGAUUUGUAUCAAUGCAUUGUAAAUAUGAAAACAAUUUUUGUGA
RNA transcript from Bolinopsis microptera, 2944 nucleotides. It is a transcript of the gene named G protein-coupled receptor kinase 3-like, with no coding region annotated. The record is from RefSeq and is a predicted model, not a curated record. The transcript has 12 exons. Lineage: Eukaryota; Metazoa; Ctenophora; Tentaculata; Lobata; Bolinopsidae.